ACAGAAAUUGUCCAAUCGGGAGAUUGGCAAGACGAUUGACAUUGUCCAGAAACGUUUUGAACACGAGGAGAAGAAACGAAAAUACGAGAUUCGGAAACUCGAGGAAAAGGAGAGAGCACUC
This 121-nucleotide non-coding RNA is filed under the name Astrosyne radiata. Lineage: Eukaryota; Bacillariophyta; Fragilariophyceae; Cyclophorales; Cyclophoraceae. The record is from RNAcentral.